AGUGAACGCUGGCGGUAGGCCUAACACAUGCAAGUCGAACGGCAGCACAGGAGAGCUUGCUCUCUGGGUGGCGAGUGGCGGACGGGUGAGGAAUACAUCGGAAUCUACUUUUUCGUGGGGGAUAACGUAGGGAAACUUACGCUAAUACCGCAUACGACCUACGGGUGAAAGCAGGGGACCUUCGGGCCUUGCGCGAUUGAAUGAGCCGAUGUCGGAUUAGCUAGUUGGCGGGGUAAAGGCCCACCAAGGCGACGAUCCGUAGCUGGUCUGAGAGGAUGAUCAGCCACACUGGAACUGAGACACGGUCCAGACUCCUACGGGAGGCAGCAGUGGGGAAUAUUGGACAAUGGGCGCAAGCCUGAUCCAGCCAUACCGCGUGGGUGAAGAGGGCCUUCGGGUUAUAAAGCCCUUUUGUUGGGAAAGAAAUCCAGCUGGCUAAUACCCGGUUGGGAUGACGGUACCCAAAGAAUAAGCACCGGCUAACUUCGUGCCAGCCGCCGCGGUAA
Molecule: ribosomal RNA, 506 nt
Filed under: uncultured bacterium
Lineage: Bacteria
Description: partial 16S ribosomal RNA
Rfam family: Bacterial small subunit ribosomal RNA
Source: RNAcentral